UGAACUCAAAUUUGUGUGCAGUUGGAACGUUUUCCUACAUUAACCGCUAGGGGCGCUGUUCCAAUUGCAGACAAAAUUGAGUUA
RNAcentral lists this microRNA precursor (84 nucleotides) under Bombyx mori (domestic silkworm). RNAcentral's name for it is "mir-2807 microRNA precursor family". It matches the Rfam family "mir-2807 microRNA precursor family". Lineage: Eukaryota; Metazoa; Arthropoda; Insecta; Lepidoptera; Bombycidae. The record is from Rfam by way of RNAcentral.